Long non-coding RNA from Athalia rosae (coleseed sawfly), 372 nucleotides. RefSeq lists it as uncharacterized. The record is from RefSeq and is a predicted model, not a curated record. The transcript has 2 exons. NCBI's taxonomy places the organism in Eukaryota, Metazoa, Arthropoda, Insecta, Hymenoptera, Athaliidae.
ACGGAGCUCGUUAAAAUAAUCUCACAGUGAGUAUAUGUAUAGGAGAAGAGCGAAAUCUGCGAUAACGUUAUCAUUAUCGUUUUAUAUCUGUAACGGGACACGCUUAUGAUAGUUGUCCAUUCGAUUCGAUUUCGUUUGGCGUCCACGCUGAACAUGGGACAAAAGAAACGAGGCUUCGAGAUUUCGCGACUUCCGCACGAACUCUAGAAAGAGGCUAUGAAAUCUGGAGCGCAGCUGCAUCGGGAAUUGUGCAGUCGGAGAAAAUUGCAAGAACCGUUCGACGAUAUUGCGAUGUAUGAAAAAAAUAAAAUAAGGAACGAGAAUUCAUUCUUUUAUGGUAACUGUACACAUAAAUAAAACUUGUAAAAUGUU